RNAcentral lists this ribosomal RNA (440 nucleotides) under uncultured bacterium. RNAcentral's name for it is "bacterial SSU rRNA". It matches the Rfam family "Bacterial small subunit ribosomal RNA", at positions 958 to 1398 of the family's 1533-position model. The record is from RNAcentral.
AACGCGAAGAACCUUACCUGGGCUCGAACGGCUCCCUAACGACUGUGGAAACAUGGUUACCCCGCAAGGGGGUGGAGUCGAGGUGCUGCAUGGCUGUCGUCAGCUCGUGUCGUGAGAUGUUGGGUUAAGUCCCGCAACGAGCGCAACCCUCGCCCUUAGUUGCCAGCCGAAAGGCGCACUCUAGGGGGACUGCCACGGAUAACGUGGAGGAAGGUGGGGAUGACGUCAAGUCCUCAUGGCCUUUAUGUCCAGGGCUACACACGUGCUACAAUGGUCGGUACAAUCCGUCGCCAACCCGCGAGGGGGAGCCAAUCGGAAAAAGCCGACCUCAGUUCGGAUUGUAGUCUGCAACUCGGCUACAUGAAGCUGGAAUCGCUAGUAAUGGCAGAUCAGCAUGCUGCCGUGAAUACGUUCCCGGGCCUUGUACACACCGAGACGUA